Molecule: unclassified non-coding RNA, 351 nt
Filed under: uncultured soil eukaryote
Lineage: Eukaryota
Description: sequence contains 5.8S rRNA gene, ITS2, 28S rRNA gene
Source: RNAcentral
AACGCAAAUGGCACUGUCGGGAUAGGCCUGGCAGUACGUUUCUUUCAGCGUCGUUUCAACAACACUCAGGCUGCGCCUUUACUGGCAUAGUCCUGGAAUUUGAGGAUCAGACUCUGUCAUGGAGUGUGUUCCUUUAAAUUGAGCGGAACGACAUGUGCUUAUGCACAUUGCAUCGAUUACUUGGCAGCGACGUGGAUAAUUUCACUUAGGUGAAUCUUUACGUGGCUGUUAACAAGGAAAGGUGUAUGUGAGGCUGAGCGCAAGGGUCUAUCCGAUUAUCGGAGGCUUUACGCCUUCAACAAUCUUUUCGACUCAGACCUGAAAUGAAGCGAGAAUACCCGCCGAACUUAA